UUUAGUUUUAGUAUGUCUGUCCUUUUCUUUUUGCUUAAAGAUAGUUUAGUUAUCUUCUUUCCUAGGAAAGGGACUAAACUUAGGGCAGGAGGAAGUUUAUCCUAUAGAGAUCUGAAGGGAUAUUAUUGACGUUACUAAAAUAGGUAAAACGCUUAAGGAUGAAACAAAAUUCAUAUAAAUAAUGAAACAAAUAUCUAUGUAAUACAUUUAACUAGUUGAAAUUUAUCUUUUUUAUUUCAUUUCUCAUUUAUUCUUUUGUCUUAUAAGACAGAGUAUCAAGACUUUAUCUCAAGAAAUAAAAAUAAAAUAUCAUAAUGAAGAGUAAUUAAGAUGACGUAUCUAAUCAGGAUGAUAGAAUUAAUCCAAGAUUAAAUCAUCAUAAGAGUAAAAAUAAAUUA
RNAcentral lists this ribosomal RNA (398 nucleotides) under Triticum aestivum (bread wheat). Its description in RNAcentral is "partial small subunit ribosomal RNA". Lineage: Eukaryota; Viridiplantae; Streptophyta; Magnoliopsida; Poales; Poaceae. The record is from RNAcentral.